RNAcentral lists this ribosomal RNA (590 nucleotides) under fungal sp. P9E2. Its description in RNAcentral is "eukaryotic LSU rRNA". The stretch from base 221 to 374 matches the Rfam family "5.8S ribosomal RNA". Lineage: Eukaryota; Fungi. The record is from RNAcentral.
UUAGAGGAAGUAAAAGUCGUAACAAGGUCUCCGUAGGUGAACCUGCGGAGGGAUCAUUACACAAAUACAAUAUGAAGGCUUCGGCUGGAUUAUUUAUUUCACCCUUGUCUUUUGCGCACUUGUUGUUACCUGGGCGGGUUCGCCCGCCACCAGGACCACACCAUAAACCUUUUUUGUUUAAUGCAUUCAGCGUCAGUAUAACAAAUGUAAAUCAUCCUACAACUUUCAACAACGGAUCUCUUGGUUCUGGCAUCGAUGAAGAACGCAGCGAAAUGCGAUACGUAGUGUGAAUUGCAGAAUUCAGUGAAUCAUCGAAUCUUUGAACGCACAUUGCGCCCUUUGGUAUUCCAAAGGGCAUGCCUGUUCGAGCGUCAUUUGUACCCUCAAGCUUUGCUUGGUGUUGGGCGUCUUGUCUUUGUUCUCCAAAGACUCGCCUUAAAACGAUUGGCAGCCGACCUCCUGGUUUCGCAGCGCAGCACAAUUUUGCGCUUGCAAUCAGCAACAGAGGUUGGCACUCCAUGAAGCCUUUUUUUCUUACGUUUGACCUCGGAUCAGGUAGGGAUACCCGCUGAACUUAAGCAUAUCAAUAA